Triticum aestivum (bread wheat) is the source of this 1312-nucleotide RNA transcript. RefSeq lists it as uncharacterized. The transcript is spliced from 2 exons. NCBI's taxonomy places the organism in Eukaryota, Viridiplantae, Streptophyta, Magnoliopsida, Poales, Poaceae. The record is from RefSeq and is a predicted model, not a curated record.
GAAAACAAGACAAGAAGGCGUAUUCCGCAUUUACGUGUUCGCCGGAACGGCUCUUCUUUAUCCUCUCGCCGGGCAACCGACGCCGUCCACUCCGGCUUCGCCAGUUCGCCUCCUUCGCCGUCGCCAUGGCCGACGCUAAAUCCCAAGGCCGAGCACCGACUACCGCUCCCGCUCCCGCUCCCGCUCCCACAUGGGCGCAACGGACCGAGGCCCUGACACACAUCCUGACCCACCCGUCCCACUCGCCGUCGCUCCACUCGCAGCUCUUCCUCGCGUCCCGCGUCCCGUGCCCACCUCGGGGCUCCUCCUACCCGCCUUUCCUCUGCCCCGGCGCGUCGCUCCUCCGGUGGGCCCUCACCUCCGUCUUCCUGCCCCGCGCCGCGCGCCUUGGCCUGCCGCCUUCGUCCUGGCGCUCCCGGUGCCCCUUCCAGUUCCCGCCGCCGCUCGUGCCCUCCGCCGGCAUCGAGCCGGCACCGGAGCGGUGGACCGAGGCCGAGCUCCGGGGGUACGCGCAGCGGCGGCGGGCUCGGAGGGGGCCCAUGAGGACGCGGCCGCCGGUGUCCAUGGCGGGGGUGGUGCUGACGACCGUGCCCAACAUCGUGAUCAUCGUGGUCAUCAUGCGCGAGCUCUUCUGGGUCCGGCCUGGCCGCUUCUGAGCCAUUCAGGUAAGCGGAUGCUCACGCAGCCGUGCGAGUUCUUCAACUGUGGACUGCGGUGCACUGACAUUGUGUGAUAGUAGCAUAUUUGUUAUACAAAACAAAUCGUCGACUGCAGCUUGCGAAAUUGUGACACUAUUUCCAGCGUCUUCCAGUUUGGGUAGAACUUGUGAAUGCAGUGUUAUUUGUUACUCGUACAACUUUUAGCUGCAGAUGUUGCUCAACUAGGCUUCUCCAAAGAGAAAGCAUUCAAGUCUGAGAUAGAUGCUGCGAUCACCUGUUUUAGCUGCAGAUGUUGCUGAACUAGCCUUCUCCAAAGCACAAGUCUGGGACAGAUGCCGCGCUAACCUGUUCAACUGUUCAGCGAGAAACAACAAAUCGAUGAUCAGGAGGCACAUGGAUCUCAACUGCUCCAUCAAGCACCUGGGUCAUCUUAUGCAUUUUAGGGCGUGUCGCUUGCUCCUGUCAUUGCAGUAGUUGGUGUUCCCUGGUUCGAUCACUUGCCAUACUCAACCUAUUUACAGGUUGACUCCACACACCGCAGUGCCACUGCCACAAACAGCUGGACCCUCUUCAUGUCAAGGGAAGCUGCCUUGUCUUCCAGCACCAGAAGAUUGAUAUAUCCAGCCCAGUCCGUUAGAAUUGCUCUAUCCUCA